GCUUACAGCCAUAUCGUGAACACGCCCGACCUCGUCUGGUCUGCUAAGCAGGGUCGGGCCUGGUUAGUGCCUGGAUGGAAGACCGCCUGGGAAGACCAGGUACUAUAUGCA
Molecule: ribosomal RNA, 111 nt
Filed under: Cyprinodon variegatus (sheepshead minnow)
Lineage: Eukaryota; Metazoa; Chordata; Actinopteri; Cyprinodontiformes; Cyprinodontidae
Source: RNAcentral